GCGCGGUCCCGUGGCUUGCCCGUUAAACCUGGCUGAGUUAAAACUGUUACUGUCGCGAGGAGCUCCGACCGUGCCCACCGCGAGGACACGUCAAAUCACAGUUGUACUCUCUCCUUUCGCAGGGUCAGAUCAACGGAGUCCAACAUCUUCGUGGCAUAACAGAAGCGGUUCUGGAACGGGAAAGAACGCUUAAGUCGUUUUAUGGAGGCUUGUGGGACGCAACGAAACAUUUCUUAAAGUGUUGGCACUGAGGAUAUCAGUCCAGAUCCACCUUUAAUUCGGAACAUAGUCUUGUUUGGAUUUCAGCCUGUUUGAAAUGUGGCGUUAUGUGCUCGAGAUAAAUGUGCUAUGUGUGUGAUUUGGAGAGGAUCUUGUGGAAGGUGUCCAGUGGGAAAGAGACUGGGUGGACUCAUCUGCAACUGAUCGCCGUUUUCUGAGCGCAAUGGACUUGGAAUGAAGACAAAACAUGGAUAUAAUCUGGGAAAUAUUUAUUAUCCUUCAAGCCAAUCUCAUCGUUUGCACUUCAGCUCCUCGUGAGAGGUUUGUGGAACGCGUCCAGCAGCACGCCCACGCGAGAACUGGACAUUGAUGGCAACCCAGCGCGCAACACAUCCGUCUUUCUCAUGAUGCGUGGGACAGGCAACGUAAACGUCCUUGACCAGUGUUUAUGGCCUCUGAGAGCUUCCCUUUUUAGUAGCUUCAUGUAAAUGCUCACCAUCAUCCACGAGGUUUCUAAUAUGGCAAGCCAGAUUGUUAGGUUGAUUUGGAAUAAUAAUUUUUACUUGUGGAUCACACCUUUUCGAAAGUGACAUUACAGGUGAGCACAUUUAGUAUGUGUGAGUGGUUUGUUUUUACUUUAUUAGACAUUAAUUUGCAUGCAUGUAUAUGUGCAUUUAUUUAUGUUUAUUUUUUUGUAUUUCUAAUGUUAUCAUGACAUCAGUUGUAAUGAGCAUGAUGAUUAUGGUUUAGCAGGGCCCUUAAGUCUGAUGAGAUUACUGCCAUUUUUGUCUCCUCUUCCACUUAUAGUUAAUGUGAAUUGUUGUUCACAACUCCUUUUACUUCUAGAAUGUGUAAUUCAGAAAGACAGGACUUAAAUGUUAUCCACUGGCAAUAGAUUGGAUUGUGAAAAGUGGGCAUUACAUAUCAAAGCAGAGCAAAAAGGAAUGUCGGUUUGCUUUUUGGUAUUCGGUUAACGCUACCCAGUAGCACACAGCCCAAGUGACGUCAAUGGAUAAGGAUCUUUCAGAGGAACUAGUUUUUAAAAAUGUGAUUAAUGAUUAUGAUGGCAGCCUUUUUAACGUCAGAAUAACAUGCAAAAUGAAUAAGAUAAUUAAAAAUGAAUGUGC
Molecule: long non-coding RNA, 1346 nt
Filed under: Sinocyclocheilus grahami
Lineage: Eukaryota; Metazoa; Chordata; Actinopteri; Cypriniformes; Cyprinidae
Description: lncRNA (ENSSGRG00000036312.1)
Source: RNAcentral